GACAGAGGUGCCGAGCGUUAGGCGGAAUCACUGGGCUUAAAGCGUGUGUAGGCGGGCCGUUAAGUAUCUUGUGAAAUCCCCCGGCUCAACCGGGGAAUGGCUGGAUAUACUGGCGGUCUUGAGCGAUCUAGGGGCAGAUGGAACAAGUGGUGGAGCGGUGAAAUGCGUAGAUAUCGUCAGGAAUGCCGGUGGUGAAGACGGGUGACUGGGCUGGUUCUGACACUGAGGCACGAAAGCGUGGGGAGCGAACGGG
This 253-nucleotide ribosomal RNA is filed under the name uncultured bacterium. RNAcentral describes it as "partial 16S ribosomal RNA". It matches the Rfam family "Bacterial small subunit ribosomal RNA", at positions 524 to 776 of the family's 1533-position model. The record is from RNAcentral.